RNAcentral lists this ribosomal RNA (440 nucleotides) under uncultured bacterium. Its description in RNAcentral is "partial 16S ribosomal RNA". It matches the Rfam family "Bacterial small subunit ribosomal RNA", at positions 338 to 795 of the family's 1533-position model. The record is from RNAcentral.
CCUACGGGAGGCAGCAGUGGGGAAUAUUGCACAAUGGGGGAAACCCUGAUGCAGCGACGCCGCGUGAGUGAAGAAGUGCCUCGGCGUGUAAAGCUCUGUCAGCAGGGACGAAAAUGACGGUACCUGAAGAAGAAGCCCCGGCUAACUACGUGCCAGCAGCCGAGGUAAUACGUAGGGGGCAAGCGUUAUCCGGAUUUACUGGGUGGAAAGGGAGCGUAGACGGCGGGGCAAGUCUGGAGGGAAAGGCCGGAGCUGAACCCCGGGACAGCUUUGGAAACUGGGCGGCGGGAGUGCGGGAGAGGUAAGCGGAAUUCCUAGUGUAGCGGUGAAAUGCGUAGAUAUUAGGAGGAACACCAGCGGCGAAGGCGGCUUACUGGACCGUGACUGACGUUGAGGCUCGAAAGCGUGGGGAGCAAACAGGAUUAGAUACCCCAGUAGUC